GCGGGUGGCUGAAUUAGAGAUCGGCGCCCAUCUAUUUCACAAUCAUUUUGGAGUGUUAUAAUGUCUCUAAGUGUUGAAGCGAAAGCGAAAAUUGUUUCUGAUUUCGGCCGUGAUGCC
The sequence is a regulatory RNA element, 117 nucleotides long. It matches the Rfam family "Ribosomal S15 leader". From Rfam's summary of the family: The E. coli Ribosomal S15 gene 5' UTR can form two alternative structures. One that is a series of three hairpins, The other includes a pseudoknot. The record is from Rfam.